CCUAAGGUAGCGAAAUUCCUUGUCGGGUAAGUUCCGACCCGCACGAAAGGCGUAACGAUUUGGGCACUGUCUCAACAACAGACUCGGUGAAAUUGUAAUUCCGGUGAAGAUGCCGGAUACCUGCGACAGGACGGAAAGACCCCAUGGAGCUUUACUGUAGCUUGACAUUGGGUCUUGGUACUACAUGUACAGGAUAGGUGGGAGGCUUUGAAACCAGGACGCCAGUUUUGGCGGAGCCAUCCUUGGGAUACCACCCUUGUAGUACUGGGACUCUAACCAUAGGCCAUGAAUCUGGUCUUGGGACACUGUCAGGUGGGCAGUUUGACUGGGGCGGUCGCCUCCCAAAAGGUAACGGAGGCGCUCAAAGGUUCUCUCAGUACGGUCGGAAAUCGUACGUAGAGUGUAAAGGCAAAAGAGAGCUUGAUUGCAAGACAUACAGGUCGAGCAAGGAUGAAAAUCGGACUUAGUGAUCCGGUGGUUCUGCGUGGAAGGGCCAUCGCUCAACGGAUAAAAGCUACCCUGGGGAUAACAGGCUUAUCUCCCCCAAGAGUCCACAUCGACGGGGAGGUUUGGCACCUCGAUGUCGGCUCAUCACAUCCUGGGGCUGUAGUAGGUCCCAAGGGUUGGGCUGUUCGCCCAUUAAAGUGGUACGCGAGCUGGGUUCAGAACGUCGUGAGACAGUUCGGUCCCUAUCCGUCGCAGGCGUAGGAAAUUUGAGAAGACCUGUCCUUAGUACGAGAGGACCGGGAUGGACGUACCUCUGGUGUACCAGUUGUCCUGCCAAGGGCAUGGCUGGGUAGCUAUGUACGGAAUGGAUAAGCGCUGAAAGCAUCUAAGCGCGAAGCCAACUUCAAGAUAAGAUUUCCCACCGCAAGGGUAAGACCCCAGAAAGACUAUCUGGUUGAUAGGUCGAAGGUGUAAGUGCAGCAAUGUAUUUAGCUUAUCGAUACUAAUAGGUCGAGGACUUGACCAA
This 973-nucleotide ribosomal RNA is filed under the name Clostridioides difficile. RNAcentral's name for it is "bacterial LSU rRNA". It matches the Rfam family "Bacterial large subunit ribosomal RNA", at positions 1950 to 2925 of the family's 2925-position model. The record is from RNAcentral. Lineage: Bacteria; Bacillati; Bacillota; Clostridia; Peptostreptococcales; Peptostreptococcaceae.